This 253-nucleotide ribosomal RNA is filed under the name uncultured bacterium. RNAcentral describes it as "partial 16S ribosomal RNA". It matches the Rfam family "Bacterial small subunit ribosomal RNA", at positions 524 to 776 of the family's 1533-position model. The record is from RNAcentral.
UACGUAGGAGGCAAGCGUUGUCCGGAAUUACUGGGUGUAAAGCGCGUGUAGGUGGUGGGCCAAGUCUGUGGUGAAAUCGCCCGGCUCAACUGGGCGAGGUCCGUGGAAACUGGUUGACUGGAGGACGGUAGAGGCGAGUGGAAUUCCCGGUGUAGUGGUGAAAUUCGUAGAUAUUCGGAAGAACACCAGUGGCGAAGGCGACUCACUGGACACGUAUUGACGCUGAGGUGCGAAAGCGUGGGGAGCAAACAGG